CCUACGGGUGGCUGCAGUAGGGAAUAUUGCUCAAUGGGGGAAACCCUGAAGCAGCAACGCCGCGUGGAGGAUGAAGGUUUUCGGAUUGUAAACUCCUUUUGUUAGAGAAGAUAAUGACGGUAUCUAACGAAUAAGCACCGGCUAACUCCGUUCCAGCAGCCGCGGUAUUACGGAGGGUGCAAGCGUUACUCGGAAUCACUGGGCGUAAAGAGCGCGUAGGCGGGAUAGCAAGUCAGAUGUGAAAUCCUAUGGCUUAACCAUAGAACUGCAUUUGAAACUGUUAUUCUAGAGUAUGGGAGAGGUAGGUGGAAUUCUUGGUGUAGGGGUAAAAUGCGUAGAGAUCAAGAAGAAUACUCAUUGCGAAGGCGACCUGCUGGAACAUAACUGACGCUGAUGCGCGAAAGCGUGGGGAGCAAACAGGAUUAGAUACCCCUGUAGUG
RNAcentral lists this ribosomal RNA (440 nucleotides) under uncultured bacterium. RNAcentral describes it as "partial 16S ribosomal RNA". It matches the Rfam family "Bacterial small subunit ribosomal RNA", at positions 338 to 795 of the family's 1533-position model. The record is from RNAcentral.